UCGCUACUACCGAUUGAACGUUUUAAUGAGUUCCGAGGAUCUGUUGCUUCAGGGGCUAGUUCCUUGUUGUAGUGGAGAGCAGGUGCAAAUUUGAUCGUUUAGAGGAAGUAA
RNAcentral lists this ribosomal RNA (111 nucleotides) under uncultured eukaryote. Its description in RNAcentral is "partial small subunit ribosomal RNA". It matches the Rfam family "Eukaryotic small subunit ribosomal RNA", at positions 1676 to 1785 of the family's 1831-position model. The record is from RNAcentral.